GUGGAGAAUAUUGGGCAAUGGGCGAAAGCCUGACCCAGCAACGCCGCGUGAAGGAAGAAGGUCUUCGGAUCGUAAACUUCUAUCCUUGGUGAAGAUAAUGACGGUAGCCGAGAAGGAAGCCCCGGCUAACUACGUGCCAGCAGCCGCGGUAAUACGUAGGGGGCAAGCGUUGUCCGGAAUGAUUGGGCGUAAAGGGCGCGUAGGCGGCCUGGUAAGUCUGGAGUGAAAGUCCUGCUUUUAAGGUGGGAAUUGCUUUGGAUACUGUCGGGCUUGAGUGCAGGAGAGGUAAGUGGAAUUCCCGGUGUAGCGGUGAAAUGCGUAGAGAUCGGGAGGAACACCAGUGGCGAAGGCGACUUACUGGACUGUAACUGACGCUGAGGCGCGAAAGUGUGGGGAGCAAACAGGAUUAGAAACCCGAGUAGUCC
RNAcentral lists this ribosomal RNA (425 nucleotides) under uncultured bacterium. RNAcentral's name for it is "partial 16S ribosomal RNA". It matches the Rfam family "Bacterial small subunit ribosomal RNA", at positions 354 to 796 of the family's 1533-position model. The record is from RNAcentral.